Long non-coding RNA from Alnus glutinosa, 415 nucleotides. RefSeq lists it as uncharacterized. Lineage: Eukaryota; Viridiplantae; Streptophyta; Magnoliopsida; Fagales; Betulaceae. The record is from RefSeq and is a predicted model, not a curated record. The transcript is spliced from 3 exons.
UGCAGGCUGGACAGGAUCUAAAAUUUAUUAGCUUAUCAAUGAGCGGAUGCUUUUCUUUGGGUGCUCUUCUACUGCUGCUUGUUAAAGGAUUUGGUCUGACAGGUUGUUGGGCUGCACUUGUGGGAUUUCAAUGGGCCCGGUUUUUCCUCGCUCUCCGGCGCCUUUCUCCAAAUGGCAUGCUGCACACCGAAGAUUUGACCCCCUAUGAACUGGGGAAGCUCAAAGCCGCUCAGUUUUUGGAAUCCAUAUCUUGAUACACGUUAAAAGGAAAAUUGAUGGAGUUGACAAGGAUGUUUGUCCAAUAUUCUUGCUUUCGGACUGCAGUCUAUUAUCCAGAUUGGCAGAUCAUUUUGAGCUAGUUGCUAAGUGACAGGUUAUAUUCAUUCUUCGAUGCCUCGAUGAGGCUAAUAGCUUA